RNAcentral lists this ribosomal RNA (246 nucleotides) under uncultured crenarchaeote. RNAcentral describes it as "partial 16S ribosomal RNA". It matches the Rfam family "Archaeal small subunit ribosomal RNA", at positions 503 to 749 of the family's 1478-position model. Lineage: Archaea; Thermoproteati; Thermoproteota. The record is from RNAcentral.
AUUGGGCCUAAGCAUCCGUAGCCGGUUCUGCAAGUCUUCCGUUAAAUCCACCUGCUUAACAGAUGGGCUGCGGAGGAUACUAUGGAGCUAGGAGGCGGGAGAGGCAAACGGUACUCAAUGGGUAGGGGUAAAAUCCGUUGAUCCAUUGAAGACCACCAGUGGCGAAGGCGGCUUGCCAGAACGCGCUCGACGGUGAGGGAUGAAAGCUGGGGGAGCAAACCGGAUUAGAUACCCCCCGUAGUCCAA